This 394-nucleotide unclassified non-coding RNA is filed under the name soil metagenome. Its description in RNAcentral is "partial contains 5.8S ribosomal RNA, internal transcribed spacer 2, and large subunit ribosomal RNA". The stretch from base 1 to 122 matches the Rfam family "5.8S ribosomal RNA", at positions 35 to 154 of the family's 154-position model. The record is from RNAcentral.
GAUGAAGAACGUAGCGAAAUGCGAUACUUGGUGUGAAUUGCAGAAUCCCGUGAACCAUCGAGUCUUUGAACGCAAGUUGCGCCCGAAGCCAUCAGGUUGAGGGCACGUCUGCCUGGGCGUCACAUAUCGUUGCCCAAUGCCUAUUGCAGUGCAAUAGGAAUUUCUAGGGCGAAUGAUGGCUUCCCGUGAGCGUUGUUGCCUCGCGGUUGGUUGAAAAUCGAGUCCUUGGUAGGGUGUGCCAUGGUAGAUGGUGGUCGAGUUAGAACGAUACCGAUCAUGUGCAUGCUCCCCAAAAUAUGGCCUCUAUGACCCACACGCGUCUUUUGACGCUCAUGACGAGACCUCAGGUCAGGCGGGGCUACCCGCUGAAUUUAAGCAUUCAAUAAGCGGAGGA